GACGGAGGUGGCAAGCGUUGUUCGGAAUCACUUGGCGUAAAGCGCGUGUAGGCGGUUUGAUAAGUCGAAUGUGAAAGCCCGAGGCUCAACCUCGGAAGUGCAUUCGAAACUGUCAGGCUUGAGUACGGGAGAGGGAAGUGGAAUUCCUGGUGUAGAGGUGAAAUUCGUAGAUAUCAGGAGGAACACCGGUGGCGAAGGCGGCUUCCUGGACCGAUACUGACGCUGAGACGCGAAAGCGUGGGGAGCAAACAGG
RNAcentral lists this ribosomal RNA (253 nucleotides) under uncultured bacterium. RNAcentral's name for it is "partial 16S ribosomal RNA". It matches the Rfam family "Bacterial small subunit ribosomal RNA", at positions 524 to 776 of the family's 1533-position model. The record is from RNAcentral.